RNAcentral lists this non-coding RNA (24 nucleotides) under Arabidopsis thaliana (thale cress). The record is from RNAcentral. Lineage: Eukaryota; Viridiplantae; Streptophyta; Magnoliopsida; Brassicales; Brassicaceae.
ACAAAUGAAAUCUACAGUACCGGU